Molecule: ribosomal RNA, 299 nt
Filed under: uncultured bacterium
Lineage: Bacteria
Description: partial 16S ribosomal RNA
Rfam family: Bacterial small subunit ribosomal RNA
Source: RNAcentral
CACCUACGGGAGGCAGCAGUGGGGAAUAUUGCACAAUGGGGGAAACCCUGAUGCAGCGACGCCGCGUGAGCGAUGAAGUAUUUCGGUAUGUAAAGCUCUAUCAGCAGGGAAGAAAAUGACGGUACCUGACUAAGAAGCCCCGGCUAACUACGUGCCAGCAGCCGCGGUAAUACGUAGGGGGCAAGCGUUAUCCGGAUUUACUGGGUGUAAAGGGAGCGUAGACGGCGGUGCAAGCCAGAUGUGAAAGCCCGGAGCUCAACUCCGGGACUGCUUUUGCAACUGUUGAACUAGAUUGCAGG